RNAcentral lists this long non-coding RNA (513 nucleotides) under Chloebia gouldiae (Gouldian finch). Its description in RNAcentral is "Erythrura gouldiae (Gouldian finch) lncRNA (ENSEGOG00005003070.1)". The record is from RNAcentral. Lineage: Eukaryota; Metazoa; Chordata; Aves; Passeriformes; Passeridae.
CGGGCUGGCAGCGCGUCCCGCAGCUGCGUAUUCCGGGAGCAGGAACGGGCUGCAGUGCCUUCACCCACUGCCGAGCCUCAACAACGCGCGCGGCUGUAGCAACCUCCCUGCUAGACAGCACCGGAAUCCUACUGCAAACCUACUCCUUUCCCUGCACGUAAAUCUCCUGCCAGCCCAUUUUCUUAGAUUUGUCUGUGAUUUAAAAAUACCUCCAGAGCCCAUGUGUUUGGCUUUGUAGAACAUUUACCAGACCGAGGUGCAGAGUAAGGUCCUGUUUCCCUAACCAAAAGGACAGCCCUCUGUGCUGACUGCAGUUGGCUUGUGAGGAGGACCCCGCGUGAGCAAUUUUUAUGGACACACAGAACCCCCAAAAUAUUCUUCACCCGUGAAGACCCAGGCAGGAAGUCUGCAUUUCUACCUCACAAGGUCCCAUGGUUUGUGUUUCGUGCAUACUCUGCCCUAAAACCAACAGAAGCUCCCAGGGAAGGCUCAGAGAACAGCCUGGCAGCAUGA